This 70-nucleotide ribosomal RNA is filed under the name Botryosphaeria dothidea. RNAcentral describes it as "partial 28S ribosomal RNA". The record is from RNAcentral. Lineage: Eukaryota; Fungi; Ascomycota; Dothideomycetes; Botryosphaeriales; Botryosphaeriaceae.
UUUCUCAAGGUUGACCUCGGAUCAGGUAGGGAUACCCGCUGAACUUAAGCAUAUCAAUAAAGCGGAGGAA